This 554-nucleotide small RNA is filed under the name fungal sp. R9-5. RNAcentral describes it as "eukaryotic LSU rRNA". The stretch from base 205 to 358 matches the Rfam family "5.8S ribosomal RNA". The record is from RNAcentral. Lineage: Eukaryota; Fungi.
CAGGGUGCGGCGCGGCCCCCGAGGAGCGGAACAAUCCUUGGGAGGUAUGCGGGGGCUUAUCGAGCCCCCCAUUUACGCACGCACGACUGCCAUCCUUACUUUACGAGCACCUUCUGUUCUCCCUCGGCGGGGCAACCUGCCGUUGGAACCGAAUAAACUCUUUUUGCAUCUAGCAUUACCUGUUCCGAAACAAACAAUCGUUACAACUUUCAACAAUGGAUCUCUUGGCUCUGGCAUCGAUGAAGAACGCAGCGAAAUGCGAUAAGUAGUGUGAAUUGCAGAAUUCAGUGAAUCAUCGAAUCUUUGAACGCACAUUGCGCCCCUCGGUAUUCCGUGGGGCAUGCCUGUUCGAGCGUCAUCUACACCCUCAAGCUCUGCUUGGUGUUGGGCGUCUGUCCCGCCUCCGCGCGUGGACUCGCCCCAAAUUCAUUGGCAGCGGUCCUUGCCUCCUCUCGCGCAGCACAUUGCGCUUCUCGAGGGGCUACGGCUCGCGUCCAACAAGCACAUUUACCGUCUUUGACCUCGGAUCAGGUAGGGAUACCCGCUGAACUUAA